UGGCGGCGUGCCUAACACAUGCAAGUCGAACGGAGUACAGAGAGCUUGCUUUUGUACUUAGUGGCGGACGGGUGAGUAAUGCGUGAGCAACCUGCCUUCAGAGGGGGGACAACAGUUGGAAACGACUGCUAAUACCGCAUAAUGUAGCGUGAGGGCAUCCUCGUGCUACCAAAGGAGCAAUCCGCUGAAAGAUGGGCUCACGUCUGAUUAGCUAGUUGGUGGGGUAACGGCUCACCAAGGCUGCGAUCAGUAGCCGGACUGAGAGGUUGAACGGCCACAUUGGGACUGAGAUACGGCCCAGACUCCUACGGGAGGCAGCAGUGGGGAAUAUUGGGCAAUGGGCGAAAGCCUGAACCCCAGCAACGCCGCGUGAAGGAAGAAGGUCUUCGGAUUGUAACUUCUUUUAUGAGGGACGAAGGACGUGACGGUACCUCAUGAAUAAGCCACGGCUAACUACGUGCCAGCCGCAGC
RNAcentral lists this ribosomal RNA (471 nucleotides) under uncultured bacterium. RNAcentral's name for it is "bacterial SSU rRNA". It matches the Rfam family "Bacterial small subunit ribosomal RNA", at positions 37 to 518 of the family's 1533-position model. The record is from RNAcentral.